UUUUUUUUUUUUUGAUUUUAUUUUGAUUUCCCAGGUGGAAAACAAUUUCAGAACAAUCGAUUUUCCCCACUGAAACAUUUACUUUUGUACAGAACCGCUUAUUUCACUGAAAAAAAGCAAAAACUCACUUGCUAUUAGCUGCUUGGGCUGGAAGUGAAUCUGACUUCUGGGUGAAAGGCUUCAUAUUCCGUUACAAAUCAUUUGCACCAUCCAGCCCCAAUGAAAAGUCUAAGUUUAACAGUAUAAUGAAUAUUACUGAACACAUCUCUUAAGGAAAGAUAAAGUGAAGGCAAUGCAUUAUUUCUGUCAUCUACUUGUAUGGGCAAUGACUGAGUGAGUGCAGUGCUUGAGAAUUAUAACUGAAUUUGAACAAAAAUAUCUAAUUGACUAAUUAUUGAUAAUGAAGGAUUUGCUCCUAGUUGCUCCUAAUUUCAAUUCAAUUUCUCAAAAACAUGCCAAGUUUUCCAGACGUGUGUCAAUCAACUAAAAGAUGCUUUGUUUAGAUUGUGUCUUUCCAGCUGUUCGUUUGCUACCAGUGGACACUUCUUUGGGCUGACGUAUAAACAUCUGGAAACUCCCAGAUGGCAAUUAACUCUCAACCUAUUGAACUGCAGUCUCUUAGAAACAUGAGGAUGUAUCAAGUGGUCUCCUGGGAAACAAGGUUCUUAAAGAGAAGGGGGAAACAAAAACAAUAACUUGAGAUAGAAAUUAAAAAAAAAAAAAAAAGCUCUAUUUUAAUUUUACCUCAAGGGAAUUCAACAACAUAAAUAGUAGUUGCACAGAAUAUAGAACGAUAAUGAUCUUGCUUAUGGCAACUUCAACCCCACAGCAAGUGUCCUGAAGAUUUUUGCCGAAGUUUAAGACGCAAAACAGUCAGUGGACAUACUUUGACCUGAACAGAAUAAUUCUGGAAACCAAGAACCAGCCCAGGUUGCAGAAGGCAAAAGCAGACACUUGGAGAAUAAAGAUCCACCUGCUGUAGACCAUCAGGUUCAAGAUCAUUUAAGGAACCUAAAGAUGCAGAAGUCCAUGGGACAUGAUCAGGUGUAUCCACAGGUCUUGAGGGAAAUGGCAGAUGAAGUGACUAAGCUACUAUCUAUUAUAUUUCAAAAGUCUUGGCAGUCCUGUGAU
RNAcentral lists this long non-coding RNA (1131 nucleotides) under Strigops habroptila (Kakapo). RNAcentral describes it as "lncRNA (ENSSHBG00005008520.1)". The record is from RNAcentral. Lineage: Eukaryota; Metazoa; Chordata; Aves; Psittaciformes; Psittacidae.